RNAcentral lists this ribosomal RNA (1481 nucleotides) under uncultured Bordetella sp. RNAcentral describes it as "partial 16S-23S ribosomal RNA intergenic spacer". It matches the Rfam family "Bacterial small subunit ribosomal RNA". The record is from RNAcentral. Lineage: Bacteria; Pseudomonadati; Pseudomonadota; Betaproteobacteria; Burkholderiales; Alcaligenaceae.
CUGGAGCAAUUGUGGUAGUAACAGAGGGUUUGAUUAUGGCUCAGAUUGAACGCUGGCGGGAUGCUUUACAUAUGCAAGUCGAACGUGGCACGGACUUCGGUCUGGUGGCGAGUGGCGAAUUUGGUGAGUAAUACCGUAUCGGAACGCCUAGUAGCGGGGGAUAAUCUGCCGCGAAAGCGUAGCUAAUACUGCAUACGCCCUUCGGGGGAAAGCGGGGACCUCGGGCCCUCGCAAUUAUUAGAGCGGCCGAUAUCGGAUUAGCUAGUUGGUGGGGUAACGGCUCACCAAGGCGACGAUCCGUAGCUGGUUUGAGGACGACCACACACUGGGACUGAGACACGGCCCAGACUCCCACGGAGGGCAGCAGUGGGAAUUUUGGACAAUGGGGGAAAUUCCUGAUCCAGCCAUCCCGCGUACAUAAGGCUCCUCUCGUCAGCACUUCUGCAGGAAAGAAGAAACGGCAGACGGAUAAUAACCGCAACUGACGGUACCUGCAGAAUAAGCACUGGCUAACUACGUGCCGAAGCAGCCGUGAAGGGUUGCCGUAGGUGCAAGCGUUAAUCGGAAUUAUCAUGAAGUAGUAAGUGGUCUGGCAGUGAUGAAAUCCCAGAGCUUAACUUUGGAACUGCAUUUUUAACUACCGAGCUAGAGUGUGUCAGAGGAGGUGAACCCGGCGUGUAGCAUAGAAUGUAGAUGAUGUGAGGAACAAUUACUAUAAGCUACAGUGCGCUUCCUGAUAAUAUCGAUUACAAUGAAAGCAGUGUAUAAAACAGAUUAGAUACCCGUAACCACGCCCUAAACGAUGUCAACUAGCUGUUGGGGCCUUCGGGUCUUGGUAGCGCAGCCAACGCGUGAAGUUGACCGCCCAGGAGUACGGCCUGCGGUGAUUAAAAUCAAAGGAAUUGACGGGGACCCGCACAAGCGGUGGAUGAUGAUUAAUCUGAUGCAACGCGAAAACCUUACCUACCCUUGACAUGUCUGGAAUCCUGAAGAGAUUGGAGUGCUCGCAAGAGAACGGGAACACAGGUGCCAUGGUAUUGUCACACGCUCGUGUCGUGAGAUGUUGGGUUAAGUCCUGCAACGAGCGCAACCCUUGGCCAUAGUUGCUACGAAAGGGCACUCAACAGACUACAGACAAACGGAGAAUGUGGGGAUGACGUCAAGUCCUCAUGGCCCUUGCGGGUAGGCUCCGCAUUGGCGCGCACAAUGGUCGGGGACAGAGGGCUCGCUAACCCGCGAGGGGGAGCUAAAUCCCAGAAACCCGAUCGUAGUCCGAUCGCAGUCUGUAACUGACAGGGUGAAGCUGGAAUCGCUAGUAACGGCGGAUCAGCAUGUCGCGGUGAAUACGUUCCCGGGUCUUGUACACACCGCCCGUCACAUCAUGGGGAGGAGCGUAUCAGAAGUGUCAUUAGGCCUAACCGUAAGGAGGGCGAUGCUAAUAAUGGUAGAUUCAUGGACUGGGUGAAGUCACACCACGGUAG